Molecule: ribosomal RNA, 274 nt
Filed under: uncultured bacterium
Lineage: Bacteria
Description: partial 16S ribosomal RNA
Rfam family: Bacterial small subunit ribosomal RNA
Source: RNAcentral
AUACGGAGGGUGCAAGCGUUAAUCGGAAUUACUGGGCGUAAAGCGCGCGUAGGCGGUUAUUUAAGUCAGAUGUGAAAUCCCUGGGCUCAACCUAGGAACUGCAUCUGAUACUGGGUAACUAGAGUUUUGGAGAGGUAAGUGGAAUUUCCGGUGUAGCGGUGAAAUGCAUAGAGAUCGGAAGGAACACUAGUGGCGAAGGCGACUUACUGGCCAAAAACUGACGCUGAGGUGCGAAAGCGUGGGUAGCAAACAGGAUUAGAAACCCUAGUAGUCC